UGGACUUGUACUCGUGACAGCGGUCCAGUCUUCCUUUGUAGCGAACAAACUUUUAAGAAGUACGCCGUAACAUCCAGCAGACCCAGAGGAUGAAACUUACCCACAGUGGCCCGGAUGAGCGGCGACGAGUCACCGAUGUUUUGGAGGCACUCGCUCUUGAUGAAAUCAGACACGCCAUUAGGGAAAUUUUGAUAGUGGGCUUUCACAUUGUUCUUCAGGAUCAGCCCACUCAGGGACCGGGUGGGUUCAUCUUCGGGGGUGGAGAGUAAAACUGAUUAAUGGUUUGUUAAUGUUUCAGCUGAGUGCAAACACACUGUUAGAUUCAAGUUACAGGGCAGAGUUAAGAGUGUUUAAUAACUUUGUUUUUAAAUGGCCAUAAUGCCGUUUUAUUCAACUCAGCACAGAAGGAAUAAUCAUAAUCCUUCUUCACCUGUGCUGCUGAAAAGUGCAAAAAAAUACCCACUAAAACAAAAACUUCUGGACUUAUUAUUGAGCUCUGUUGUGAACACUUGUGGUUUGUGAUAUCUUUACAAGAAGCAAUAAUCUUAGCAUCCAUAAACGUCUCAACACUCCUCAAAAUUCAUCUACUAUUCUGAUGGUCGAGCCCAGAGUUCAAUGUUGCCAAGAAUUGGGUUUAAAAUUAGAGUGACCCAUAUUCUGAGUGCCACAUCAUCCGUGGCAAAGAAGCCACGGGGUCAGCCAAGUCACGGCCGAACAGACCUGUCACUGAGCACUUAUGUAAAAAAAGAAUGUUUUAAAAAACAUGUCUGAUGUUCACGCUGUCUGGUAGCAUCAGGUGUAAGAACACGAAGCAGAUACGACAAAGUAACAACAAAACAGAGAGGUGGAGAGCUUACCUUCUGAUUUUAACUUUGUUAGAACAAAUAUUAAGUAGUUGUUGAAGUCUGGGUACUGGUUCAGCUGCUCGAGUCUCUGGGAACAGUGGUUGAGGAAGACAACUGUGCGUAUACGAUUCAUUACAUUCAAAUGCAUGACUGCAAAAAGAGCUUCACUUCCAUGUGAGGAGAAGAAUAAUAAAGGUUUAUGUGCAGGUG
Molecule: long non-coding RNA, 1055 nt
Organism: Notolabrus celidotus (New Zealand spotty)
Lineage: Eukaryota; Metazoa; Chordata; Actinopteri; Labriformes; Labridae
Exons: 2
Source: RefSeq, a predicted model, not a curated record